GUGGGGAAUAUUGGACAAUGGGCGCAAGCCUGAUCCAGCGAUGCCGCGUGUGUGAAGAAGGCCUUCGGGUUGUAAAGCACUUUCAGUGGGGAAGAAAGGCUUAAGGUUAAUACCCUUAAGAGUUGACGUUACCCACAGAAGAAGCACUGGCUAACUCUGUGCCAGCAGCCGCGGUAAUACAGAGAGUGCAAGCGUUAAUCGGAAUUACUGGGCGUAAAGCGCGCGUAGGUGGAUACUUCAGUCGGAUGUGAAAGCCCUGGGCUCAACCUAGGAAUUGCAUUCGAUACUGGGUAACUAGAGUAUGGUAGAGGGAAGUGGAAUUUCCGGUGUAGCGGUGAAAUGCGUAGAUAUCGGAAGGAACACCAGUGGCGAAGGCGACUUCCUGGACCAAUACUGACACUGAGGCGCGAAAGCGUGGGGAGCAAACAGG
RNAcentral lists this ribosomal RNA (430 nucleotides) under uncultured bacterium. RNAcentral describes it as "bacterial SSU rRNA". It matches the Rfam family "Bacterial small subunit ribosomal RNA", at positions 354 to 776 of the family's 1533-position model. The record is from RNAcentral.